UGCCAUAACAUCCUGUGCAUCAUAAUACUCUGUCAAAUCCCCUACUCAUCUCAGGGAAUACCAAGGUAGAAAUAAACUCAUAUACACGCAUUUUAUGGGUCAUUCAUGAGAACUUAUUUUGACUAGGGCAUCACAUGCUACCGGAGUGCUUGUCCUCAUCGAACUAAAUUUGGAAAAAAAAUCAUGACUGAAUGAAAUUUCACCCAAAGCUGGAGCCAUCGAUGAGGAUAGCUUGAGAGACAGUUCCACGCAACCAAAAAAGGAUUUUGGAGUGAAUGCCGGCCUAGAAACCCAACUGAAUCCUCUCUUUCUAUCAUGUAAUAUCUACCUUGUUCUUAGUAAUACUAUUCAUCUUUCUUAAAAAGUAAACCAAGAAAUUCUCUCAAGAUUGUUCCAACAUGAAGAGCCAUGUAAAUAAAAGGUCAAAAAAUUUAACCCCCGCCCCCCGCCCAUUUUCAGGUGCUAGCCAGCAGUUGUUGGAACAAGACACAAAUGUGAACACAGAAAGCUCUGAAGAGAAACAAUUAUGAGAUACAAAUAAAAUAGCAAAUAAAGUUGUUUAUGAUUGAAUCAAACUUCACAAGGCCUUCUCGUACAAACUUGCUGCCAGAAAUCUGAGGAACCCAUCACUGGCUAGUCUCCUUUAGCAUUCAGCUAUCGCAUUUUUAAUCUGCAGGAGUAACAGCAACCAACAACACGUCAAAAUCAAUAUACCAUAUUAUACAAAAGAAUUGCAAUUCUGUCGAUCGUUAUCUACCAUCAACAAAACAGCUAAAAUGAAGAGACAUGGACAAGCUGGAAUGUGAUUUUUCGAAAAAAGGACACACCAAUUAAA
Molecule: long non-coding RNA, 835 nt
Filed under: Olea europaea subsp. europaea
Lineage: Eukaryota; Viridiplantae; Streptophyta; Magnoliopsida; Lamiales; Oleaceae
Source: RNAcentral